GGUACCUUCUGGGCAGCCUCCGGAGUCAAAUCAAGACUUGAGGUACCCUGGGGAGGCUUGUAGCCACACCUUGGAAGCGGCAGCACCGAAGAGCACACAUUGAGAACAUCUCAAUGUCCGCGUCCAACCGACGAUGGCUUUUGUCCGCUUGUCUUCCAAAAGCUAAGUGUCAGGGCCAGUGGUUGGGAGAAGGGGAAAAGCCUUUACUAUCACAGGAGGCAAUCUGAUGUCAGCUUAGCGGAGAGGUCUGUAGUGGGAAGGGCUCUCUGGAAGUAAAGGGAGAGGGUUUCUCCUCAGCCUCACCAGAGCCUUUGCUGGGCAGGACAGUUCCGACCCAUGUCCACAUUCUUGUGAACUUUGCGUCGUCAGCCUUCCUCAACUCGAUGUCGUCACGGCUCUUUCCCCUGAGGAACUCGCCUUCAGGUCUGGAGCUAUGGCCACGGUCACCCGGCCAUCCGCUUCCUUCUCUAGGCUUGCUGAGCCUCUUGAGCAUCCUCCUAACUGCUUUGGCCCUAACUUCUUUUAAUGAGCUACAUUUCAUCAUCACGUGCUGUCGUCAUAGGGCUUUCUUUCCUUUGGCCUCAUCGGCCUCUGGCUCGUCUUGCGCUAGGACUCUCGGGUCCCUACGGGGAAAGUGCCUAGCAGUUGCAACUUGUCUCUGGGUUAUGUCAUCUGUGUCUAUGUUAUGGUGUCCCUGUCUGUGGUAUGUAGUCUGUGUCCAUUGUCUUCCACGUCAUAGGCCUUUGUUACAUCUCGAUGCUUUAUCGGCACUCUUCUGUGCCAUAUAGGCCGUGUUCUACUCACAUUCCUUUCCGGAUAUCUCUUAUUCCGGCAUCUUUACAUUUUUACUCUUUGAGACAGGAAUGUCUCACAGGGACAAGAUGUUCUCAUCCAUCUUCCUUCUCACUACCCGCUUUGGUAGUGCCUUUUUUCCAUUUUCUUGGACUUCUAGAGGGUGCGUCUUACACCCUUCUCAUGUGACUGCAGUAGUUCUAUAGAUUCCAUCUUCUCAAAGGGUAUAGGGCUCAAGAAUUCAUCUUCCAGAGAGUUAUCUCCAGUCCUGGCUUGUAUAGUAUGUACCUAUAUUGUGUGUACCUAUAUUGACCUAUGUAUGUACUCACAUUGUAUGUACCUACGCUGGCUUGUACUGUAUGUACUUACAUUGUAUGUACCUAUGUUGGCUUAUACUGUGUGUACUUACACUGUAUGUAAGCGCGUUGCCCUAUAUUAUGUGUAUUUACGCUCUGUGUAUACUUGCACUGUAUGCAUCAGCUUAUAUUGUGUGUACUUACAUUGUACCACUUAUGAUCAGAGCUGCCCUGCCCUGGUAUGUAGUCACAGUUAGGUAGAACAGUUAUAGAAGUUUUACUGUUCAACUGUCUUCUAUGGGAUUUUGGGUAGAAAACUUAUCAGUCCAGAUUGGGGACAAGUCCCAGCUGUCAGAUAGCUGCUCAUUGACCCUUCCUGUCAUCUCACAGGUCCCCGACCCUGCUGACUUCCCCAGGAUCUGCCAUUUAUGUCAAGGAGUGGCAGCAAGAAGAUGUGUCAAAGCACGUUCUUCAGCGUCUCAGGUAAGGGCUGCAGUGAGCGUGUAAGUGGAAAGAAUGUGUGAGCGUGUGUGAGAGCACGUGGCUGUGUCUGUCUGUGUCUGCUCGUCUCUGCAUGUGUGAGCACAUGCUGACUGGAUUUAACCUUGUGUAUAUGACUUUUGCUUUUCAGGUUUUGCAACUCAUUGUUAAAUUUAGAAUAAAAAAUCCCCAGCUGCC
Non-coding RNA from Zonotrichia albicollis (white-throated sparrow), 1766 nucleotides. The record is from RefSeq and is a predicted model, not a curated record. Lineage: Eukaryota; Metazoa; Chordata; Aves; Passeriformes; Passerellidae.